CCAAACAGGUCGUUCAUGUUGAUAACAACACGUAUGCUUUGUAGUCGCCCCGUUACUUCUGCACGCAAUGAGAUAAAUUUAGUAACAUGUACAGUCACGCAGCCUGUGCGCUGCGUUCAACCAAUCACGUUCCGGCUUGUUACACGUCUGCCGUAGUGGAUAUCAGACGACUGUCGAUUGUAACUACCAAGACGCAAAAUGGAGAAUACCGAUAUCAAAUUUGAUGAGCGUUUAGUCGCUUUAGUCCGCGAUCAUCCUAUGGUGUACGACUCAAAACACAAGGACUAUAAAAAUAAGAAAAUGAAGGAUGAAAUUUGGAAAUCCGUCGGACAAGAACUGGGAUAUUUAGGAGAUGAUUGUCAGUAUAGAUGGCGCGUCAUAAGAGAUAGAUAUGUCAAGAAGAAGAAAGAAAUGUUACGCCGACCGGGUGUACCAGAAGAAACGAUCGUAUCAACAUGGAAACUCUAUUAUAACGUCGACGAAUUUCUCAGUCCUUAUAUCGUGCACCGUAACAGAUUACAGCCCGCGUACUACGAUGACAACAAUCAAUUAAUAUUUAUGAAGGAAGAAGAUUCGGGUUCUCCUCAUGUUUUGGACGAAGGUUCGACGCCCCCGUAUGUGGCCUUCGAAUCGGCCCUUGAUGAUUCGGUAGAUGAUGUUAAUAGUGAAAGUGUUGUGGGAACAGAUCAGAGACCGCCAAAACUUUCUCAUUAUAACAGUGACAUACAAAGUGAUGUUAGUGAUUUUACUAGGGUUCACCAGAACGGUUUGAUCAACCUUGAUGAUACCCUUCGACAGCUCCCCAAUUCGAGAAAAAGAAGAGCCAUUCAGAAAGAGGACGAUUUAAGAAUAAUGAGUGUGGUCUCAAAUGAAAGACAAAAUGCCUUAGACGAAGAGGCUCAUUUUGGAUGCAUUGUAACAUCCACGCUAAGGCGACUCCCACCCAAACAGCGUGCAUUAGGCAAACUUAAACUAACGGAACUCCUUUAUAAAUUAGAAUUUCCAGAAGAUAGCCCAAUUGAACCCCUUUUACAUCAAGAACACAAAAUUUCCAAUACUGCGGAAGAUGAAAAAGAGUGAUAAUUUCGCCAUAAUAGUAUGAAAUACAGAAUUAUUUAAAUAUUUUCAGAAGUAAGCUUAAUCUAAAUCUUAAACCUACUUAAUUAAAGUAUUUAUAUUUUUAAUUUUUAAUCAUUAUAUCAGUAUAUAAAACCUAUCUCAUUAAAACCUAAUUUUUACAAGCAUAUCUUAAUUAUAUUCUGUUUAUUUCGUUGUUUUAUGUUAUAAUGUAUUGUUAAUUGUUUACAAUAAAUGUUAUUAUAAUUUUC
This is a long non-coding RNA of Patella vulgata (common limpet), 1328 nucleotides long. RefSeq lists it as uncharacterized. Lineage: Eukaryota; Metazoa; Mollusca; Gastropoda; Patellidae. The transcript has 2 exons. The record is from RefSeq and is a predicted model, not a curated record.